RNAcentral lists this small nuclear RNA (308 nucleotides) under Panthera tigris altaica (Amur tiger). RNAcentral's name for it is "7SK RNA (ENSPTIG00000004088.1)". It matches the Rfam family "7SK RNA". From Rfam's summary of the family: 7SK was discovered as an abundant small nuclear RNA in the mid-70s but a possible function has only recently been suggested. Lineage: Eukaryota; Metazoa; Chordata; Mammalia; Carnivora; Felidae. The record is from Rfam by way of RNAcentral.
GGACGUGAGGGUGAUCCGGCCAUGACAUCUGUCACCCCAUUGAUUGCCAGUGUUGACUCAGCUGAUCUGGCAGGCUAGGCAGGUGUCCCCUCCCGCCUCACUCGGUCCAUGCGCGAAGCUGCACACGCCUGCUCGGAUUAGGAGGACGACCUUCCCCGUUACAGGAGGACCAUUCUUGCAUCACGGGUAUUCAAGUGGCUGCUGUCCCCUGCUAGAAUCUCCAAACAAGCUUUCAAGGCCCGUAUCCGAAACAGGCUCCAGGCUCUGAGCUGUCCCCGCGGAGCCCCACGCGGGGCUCAAACUCACGG